This is a long non-coding RNA of Melanaphis sacchari, 490 nucleotides long. RefSeq lists it as uncharacterized. Lineage: Eukaryota; Metazoa; Arthropoda; Insecta; Hemiptera; Aphididae. The transcript has 3 exons. The record is from RefSeq and is a predicted model, not a curated record.
UUACUAUACUAUAAUACGUAUAACACCAGUUCGAAACACUGUAAUCGCACAUUUCAUGACGUUGGUUCGAUACAGUCGUAAAUUCUCAACUGCCCGUGUCUUUGUAACAAAUUUAAUAAUAUAGGUAUAUACUUAAGCGUUUCGUAUCGCUUAACGUGAUUUUGGAAUUUUUAAUUGUUACAUUCAUAAUUCAGUAUGUCGUUUAUCUGCUUGACCAUUAUAACUAUGAUAUUAUAGUAUAUUACGAGUAUGUAUUCUCAGUUUUAAAAGCAUAUCUUGGUGUCCUGACCGGUUGUGAGAUGUUGAGAGUAAAUAUGUACACUUUUCCGGACAAACUGAAUUUACUGAAUGACCGUUCAAGACACCGCCGCGGGAUAUGCCUUUAAAACCGGGACGAAUGGCAAACCUGCCUAUCACCAUAUAAUGUAAUAUGUAUAAUUUAUAGCUGUAUUUGUUUAAUUUAUAUUAUGCUUUAAUUAUGUAAACGAUU